AUACGUAGGGGGCAAGCGUUAUCCGGAAUUACUGGGUGUAAAGGGAGCGUAGGCGGCAUGGUAAGUUAGAUGUGAAAGCCCGUGGCUCAACCACGGGAUUGCAUUUAAAACUACCAAGCUAGAGUACAGGAGAGGUAAGUGGAAUUCCUAGUGUAGCGGUGAAAUGCGUAGAUAUUAGGAAGAACACCAGUGGCGAAGGCGACUUACUGGACUGAAACUGACGCUGAGGCUCGAAAGCGUGGGGAGCAAACAGGAUUAGAUACCCUGGUAGUCCACGCCGUAAACGAUGAGUGCUAGGUGUUGGGGGGGAACCCUCGGUGCCGCAGCUAACGCAUUAAGUACCCCGCCUGGGGAGUACGGCCGCAAGGCUAAA
This 373-nucleotide ribosomal RNA is filed under the name uncultured bacterium. Its description in RNAcentral is "bacterial SSU rRNA". It matches the Rfam family "Bacterial small subunit ribosomal RNA", at positions 523 to 898 of the family's 1533-position model. The record is from RNAcentral.